UCGAGCGGACAGAUGGGAGCUUGCUCCCUGAUGUUAGCGGCGGACGGGUGAGUAACACGUGGGUAACCUGCCUGUAAGACUGGGAUAACUCCGGGAAACCGGGGCUAAUACCGGAUGCUUGUUUGAACCGCAUGGUUCAAACAUAAAAGGUGGCUUCGGCUACCACUUACAGAUGGACCCGCGGCGCAUUAGCUAGUUGGUGAGGUAACGGCUCACCAAGGCAACGAUGCGUAGCCGACCUGAGAGGGUGAUCGGCCACACUGGGACUGAGACACGGCCCAGACUCCUACGGGAGGCAGCAGUAGGGAAUCUUCCGCAAUGGACGAAAGUCUGACGGAGCAACGCCGCGUGAGUGAUGAAGGUUUUCGGAUCGUAAAGCUCUGUUGUUAGGGAAGAACAAGUACCGUUCGAAUAGGGCGGUACCUUGACGGUACCUAACCAGAAAGCCACGGCUAACUACGUGCCAGCAGCCGCGGUAAUACGUAGGUGGCAAGCGUUGUCCGGAAUUAUUGGGCGUAAAGGGCUCGCAGGCGGUUUCUUAAGUCUGAUGUGAAAGCCCCCGGCUUCAACCGGGGAGGGUCAUUGGAAACUGGGGAACUUGAGUGCAGAAGAGGAGAGUGGAAUUCCACGUGUAGCGGUGAAAUGCGUAGAGAUGUGGGAGGAACACCAGUGGCGAAGGCGACUCUCUGGU
RNAcentral lists this ribosomal RNA (691 nucleotides) under Bacillus subtilis. RNAcentral describes it as "bacterial SSU rRNA". It matches the Rfam family "Bacterial small subunit ribosomal RNA", at positions 62 to 733 of the family's 1533-position model. Lineage: Bacteria; Bacillati; Bacillota; Bacilli; Caryophanales; Bacillaceae. The record is from RNAcentral.